Molecule: small nuclear RNA, 172 nt
Organism: Echeneis naucrates (live sharksucker)
Lineage: Eukaryota; Metazoa; Chordata; Actinopteri; Carangiformes; Echeneidae
Gene: U2
Rfam family: U2 spliceosomal RNA
About the family: U2 is a small nuclear RNA (snRNA) component of the spliceosome (involved in pre-mRNA splicing).
Source: Ensembl
AUCGCUUCUCGGCCUUUUGGCUAAGAUCAAGUGUAGUAUCUGUUCUUAUCAGUUUAAUAUCUGAUACGUCCCCUACCCGGGGACCAUAUAUUAAAUAGAUUUUUGGAACAGGGAGAUGGAAUAGGGGCUUGCUCCGUCCACUCCACGCAUCGACCCACCCAGAACACUCCCA